RNAcentral lists this ribosomal RNA (1413 nucleotides) under Escherichia coli. RNAcentral describes it as "bacterial LSU rRNA". It matches the Rfam family "Bacterial large subunit ribosomal RNA", at positions 1439 to 2793 of the family's 2925-position model. Lineage: Bacteria; Pseudomonadati; Pseudomonadota; Gammaproteobacteria; Enterobacterales; Enterobacteriaceae. The record is from RNAcentral.
GAACUUCGCUGGUAGUAGUCAAGCGAAGGGGUGACGCAGGAAGGUAGCCGUACCAGUCAGUGGUAACACUGGGGCAAGCCGGUAGGGAGAGCGAUAGGCAAAUCCGUCGCUCACUAAUCCUGAGAGGUGACGCAUAGCCGGUUGAGGCGAAUUCGGUGAUCCUCUGCUGCCAAGAAAAGCCUCUAGCGAGCACACACACGGCCCGUACCCCAAACCGACACAGGUGGUCAGGUAGAGCAUACCAAGGCGUACGAGAUAACUAUGGUUAAGGAACUCGGCAAAAUGCCCCCGUAACUUCGGGAGAAGGGGGACCGGAAUAUCGUGAACACCCUUGCGGUGGGAGCGGGAUCCGGUCGCAGAAACCAGUGAGGAGCGACUGUUUACUAAAAACACAGGUCCGUGCGAAGUCGCAAGACGAUGUAUACGGACUGACGCCUGCCCGGUGCUGGAAGGUUAAGAGGACCCGUUAACCCGCAAGGGUGAAGCGGAGAAUUUAAGCCCCAGUAAACGGCGGUGGUAACUAUAACCAUCCUAAGGUAGCGAAAUUCCUUGUCGGGUAAGUUCCGACCUGCACGAAUGGCGUAACGACUUCUCAACUGUCUCAACCAUAGACUCGGCGAAAUUGCACUACGAGUAAAGAUGCUCGUUACGCGCGGCAGGACGAAAAGACCCCGGGACCUUCACUACAACUUGGUAUUGAUGUUCGGUACGGUUUGUGUAGGAUAGGUGGGAGACUGUGAAACCUCGACGCCAGUUGGGGCGGAGUCGUUGUUGAAAUACCACUCUGAUCGUAUUGGGCAUCUAACCUCGAACCCUGAAUCGGGUUUAGGGACAGUGCCUGGCGGGUAGUUUAACUGGGGCGGUUGCCUCCUAAAAUGUAACGGAGGCGCCCAAAGGUUCCCUCAACCUGGACGGCAAUCAGGUGGCGAGUGUAAAUGCACAAGGGAGCUUGACUGCGAGACUUACAAGUCAAGCAGGGACGAAAGUCGGGAUUAGUGAUCCGGCACCCCCGAGUGGAAGGGGUGUCGCUCAACGGAUAAAAGGUACCCCGGGGAUAACAGGCUGAUCUUCCCCAAGAGUCCAUAUCGACGGGAUGGUUUGGCACCUCGAUGUCGGCUCGUCGCAUCCUGGGGCUGGAGCAGGUCCCAAGGGUUGGGCUGUUCGCCCAUUAAAGCGGCACGCGAGCUGGGUUUAGAACGUCGUGAGACAGUUCGGUCUCUAUCCGCCGCGCGCGUCAGAAACUUGAGGAAACCUGUCCCUAGUACGAGAGGACCGGGACGGACGAACCUCUGGUGCACCAGUUGUCCCGCCAGGGGCACCGCUGGAUAGCCACGUUCNUGUUCGCCCAUUAAAGCGGCACGCGAGCUGGGUUUAGAACGUCGUGAGACAGUUCGGUCUCUAUCCGCCGCGCGC